AGCGAAUCAGAGACGCCCCCGUGCGGACAGCCCUCCUCCUCCUCCUCCUCCUCCUUCCUCGAGCAGGAAGGCUUUACGCAACUCCAUUCCAUUCCAGGGAACUGAGAGCUGAUCACAGUAUACACUGACUGAAGACCAGCAAGUCGGACGUUCGAAUCCAGAAAGAGCGUAGAUGAGCUCCUUCUGUCUGCUCCAGCUCCCCAUGUGAGACAUGAGAGAAGCCUCCCACAAGGAUGGUAAAACAUCAAAACAUCUGGGCAUCCCCUGGGUAGCGUCCUUGCAGAUAGCCAAUUUUCUCUCACCAGAAGUGACUUGCAGUUUCUCAAAUCGCUCCUGACAUGAAAAAGAAAGGGCAAAUUAAUCUUGGAUGGGAGACAUUUCCAGCCUCAUGGAGAAGACAAUGGUGGUGUGUUUGCUGUAGAUGCAUCCAUUCAAUGGUUGCUUGAAACCAUCUAUAAUUAAACAUGAAAAAGGGGAUGACAUGGUCUUGCUGUCAUCCUACAAUACAAAGUGGAGAUGGCAUGUGAUAAAAUGUACCUUGUCAUGCGGCAUGUUUUGACUGUCAAUUCGGAAUGAAAGAAAAUGAAAUUUGUGGCCUAAGUUUUCUUCCAAGAACUAUGACUCCAUAUCAACUAUUUUGCACUGACAAAAGUCACAGUGACAAGUGACAAAGAACUCAAAGCAACACACGUAGGGGUUACUGAGAACAAAGUAAAAAA
This is a long non-coding RNA of Anolis sagrei ordinatus, 719 nucleotides long. RefSeq lists it as uncharacterized. NCBI's taxonomy places the organism in Eukaryota, Metazoa, Chordata, Lepidosauria, Squamata, Anolidae. The record is from RefSeq and is a predicted model, not a curated record.